This 229-nucleotide unclassified non-coding RNA is filed under the name plant metagenome. Its description in RNAcentral is "partial contains small subunit ribosomal RNA, internal transcribed spacer 1, and 5.8S ribosomal RNA". The record is from RNAcentral.
UUUCCGUAGGUGAACCUGCGGAGGGAUCAUUACAGAGUUCAUGCCCUACCGGGUAGAUCUCCCACCCUAUGUUAUUAUUACUUCGUUGCUUUGGCGGGCCGUUAGGCUCCGGCCCGACUACCGGCCCCGGCUGGUAAGCGCCCGCCAGAGGACCCAAAACCCUGAAUAUUAGUGUCGUCUGAGUACUAUAUAAUAGUUAAAACUUUCAACAACGGAUCUCUUGGUUCUG